UACGGGGGGGGCAAGCGUUGUUCGGAAUUACUGGGCGUAAAGGGCUCGUAGGCGGCCCACUAAGUCAGACGUGAAAUCCCUCGGCUUAACCGGGGAACUGCGUCUGAUACUGGAUGGCUUGAAUCCGGGAGAGGGAUGCGGAAUUCCAGGUGUAGCGGUGAAAUGCGUAGAUAUCUGGAGGAACACCGGUGGCGAAGGCGGCAUCCUGGACCGGCAUUGACGCUGAGGAGCGAAAGCCAGGGGAGCAAACGGG
RNAcentral lists this ribosomal RNA (253 nucleotides) under uncultured bacterium. RNAcentral describes it as "partial 16S ribosomal RNA". It matches the Rfam family "Bacterial small subunit ribosomal RNA", at positions 524 to 776 of the family's 1533-position model. The record is from RNAcentral.